Molecule: ribosomal RNA, 1065 nt
Filed under: Vibrio vulnificus
Lineage: Bacteria; Pseudomonadati; Pseudomonadota; Gammaproteobacteria; Vibrionales; Vibrionaceae
Description: bacterial SSU rRNA
Rfam family: Bacterial small subunit ribosomal RNA
Source: RNAcentral
UUGACGUUAGCGACAGAAGAAGCACCGGCUAACUCCGUGCCAGCAGCCGCGGUAAUACGGAGGGUGCGAGCGUUAAUCGGAAUUACUGGGCGUAAAGCGCAUGCAGGUGGUUUGUUAAGUCAGAUGUGAAAGCCCGGGGCUCAACCUCGGAACUGCAUUUGAAACUGGCAGACUAGAGUACUGUAGAGGGGGGUAGAAUUUCAGGUGUAGCGGUGAAAUGCGUAGAGAUCUGAAGGAAUACCGGUGGCGAAGGCGGCCCCCUGGACAGAUACUGACACUCAGAUGCGAAAGCGUGGGGAGCAAACAGGAUUAGAUACCCUGGUAGUCCACGCUGUAAACGAUGUCUACUUGGAGGUUGUGGCCUUGAGCCGUGGCUUUCGGAGCUAACGCGUUAAGUAGACCGCCUGGGGAGUACGGUCGCAAGAUUAAAACUCAAAUGAAUUGACGGGGGCCCGCACAAGCGGUGGAGCAUGUGGUUUAAUUCGAUGCAACGCGAAGAACCUUACCUACUCUUGACAUCCAGAGAAUCUAGCGGAGACGCUGGAGUGCCUUCGGGAACUCUGAGACAGGUGCUGCAUGGCUGUCGUCAGCUCGUGUUGUGAAAUGUUGGGUUAAGUCCCGCAACGAGCGCAACCCUUAUCCUUGUUUGCCAGCGAGUAAUGUCGGGAACUCCAGGGAGACUGCCGGUGAUAAACCGGAGGAAGGUGGGGACGACGUCAAGUCAUCAUGGCCCUUACGAGUAGGGCUACACACGUGCUACAAUGGCGCAUACAGAGGGCGGCCAACUUGCGAAAGUGAGCGAAUCCCAAAAAGUGCGUCGUAGUCCGGAUUGGAGUCUGCAACUCGACUCCAUGAAGUCGGAAUCGCUAGUAAUCGUGGAUCAGAAUGCCACGGUGAAUACGUUCCCGGGCCUUGUACACACCGCCCGUCACACCAUGGGAGUGGGCUGCAAAAGAAGUGGGUAGUUUAACCUUCGGGAGGACGCUCACCACUUUGUGGUUCAUGACUGGGGUGAAGUCGUAACAAGGUAGCGCUAGGGGAACCUGGCGCUGGAUCACCUCCUUA